UCCCUCUCAGGGUCGCAACUGGAGAGUUUCCAGUACUCUACAAGUCUCGGCUACGGGAGGGAGUCAAGCAGAGGCCUACUCAUUCCAUUCCUAGCUGGGGCAGUGGUUAGCGAGUGGAAAGCAAUCUGCUACAAGU
This 136-nucleotide small nucleolar RNA is filed under the name Ornithorhynchus anatinus (platypus). The record is from RNAcentral. Lineage: Eukaryota; Metazoa; Chordata; Mammalia; Monotremata; Ornithorhynchidae.